CUUUAAGUUCCACAAUCUUAUGGACUGUACCAUCUUUAACAGGGGAGACUCAACAGAGUUGCAAAAUCUGAUCACAGAAAGUUCCAGUAGCUGCAGGUAUUUUAAGGGUAGGGUUAAAACAGACGAUUGAUAAUAAAAGAAUAACACAAAACAACCACGGUGGAGGUUUUCUAAAGCAAGUUUUAAUUGUGCAAAGUUAAAAGAACAGAGGGCUGUUUGAGUGCUGUAUCUCUCACUCCUCCACACAUAGAGUACAGUAAUUUAAAGAUGAUUUGUCACAAGCAUUUCCACAUUUCUUCUCUAGGACACACAGAAAAAGCAGCAACAUACUGUAAACCCCAAAAUGUCCAGUCCACACCCUUGCAGCACCUCAAUGUGAACCAGAGUUAUAAGAGAACACAACAAUGGAUUCUCAGUCAAAUUCAAACAGGACUAACAAGGGCAGAUUACAGUGUGACUGAUGUCUAUCUUGUUCAAUCGGAUGUUCAGCCCAGUGAUUAAAGAAUACAAGCAAUACGAGAAUGAUGCAACCUGGUUUGUUUAAAGAGGUUAGCAGAUAAGCAAGGCUGGGUUCGGGAUGCAUUUGAUGGCGAUUCUUGACUUCGGUGGAUUCCCUGCAGAGGAUGCGGAGAGGUCUGUCACUGUCUCCAACACUUGGAGAUGCUCCUGUCUCUCAUAGCAUUGUCGUUAUUGCUAAAGGUUCCAGCAGAUUUCAAGAAAAAUGUCAACCCUUCCAUCCCUUCUCUAACCCUCAGCUGGCUGGAAAGGUAUAGAAACAUGCAAAAUGUGGCUGUAGUACUACGCGCACAAUGAAUGGUGAGGUUCUUUUCUCUGUGAGCCAAAUUCUAUCACGUCUCAUUUCUGAGCCCUUAACCGGAUUAGCUUGGAGUGAAGGGCGAGAAGGAGAAAGCAGACGGCUGAAGAAUUGGAACAAGACCGAUGUCAAUCACUCGAGUGCAGGAUAGAAUCAAGGCUAUUGAAUGGAACUGAGAAAUAUCAUAAAGCAGGGUGUUUAAGAUAUACAGCUGCAUGCUUUCAAUAUACAGUACCCUAUUCAUUUUGUCUCUAUGUUGAAUAAUAUUAUGUUCUAGUUGUAAUAUAGUAUCUAUGACAUCAGUAAGGACCACAGCUGCUCCGUCAUAUAUUCCAUCAAACUCUAAAACGGGCUUCAAAAUCCCAGUUGACAUGCCAUACAAGAUAGAUUGAGGAUUGAAAAGCCUUCAGGGGAAGCAGAAUGAGGCCAUGCUUAAAAUGGGCCAUAAAAAAACCACAGAGGGACAAAUGAAAGCGGUCUUGUGGGUACAAAGAAUUAAUGAAAGCGUCUGAACUGGUUCUGGAUGGCGAGGGCUGCUUUCUCCGUCUCCGGGGCUUCCAGGUCGAUAUCGAUCUCUUCCUCCUGCUCAGGUUUUCCUGCAGAGUCAGAUGCCUUUUCUAGAACACAAUGACCAACCCAUUGUGUGAAUCAACUUAUAAGAUCACUAUUGUGAAAAAGAAGUAAACUUCAGCAUACUUUUAGUAUAGUAAGAGUACUUACUAUGGAAAUAUACUUUGAAAG
Cyprinus carpio carpio is the source of this 1555-nucleotide long non-coding RNA. The record is from Ensembl. NCBI's taxonomy places the organism in Eukaryota, Metazoa, Chordata, Actinopteri, Cypriniformes, Cyprinidae.